Diprion similis is the source of this 307-nucleotide long non-coding RNA. RefSeq lists it as uncharacterized. The transcript is spliced from 2 exons. Lineage: Eukaryota; Metazoa; Arthropoda; Insecta; Hymenoptera; Diprionidae. The record is from RefSeq and is a predicted model, not a curated record.
GGGACGAUGCGGCCGGGUUUUGCGGUCGUUUUUAGAUCCAAACUGCUCGGAUGGUGUAAUGAUACAAGAUCGUUGAUAAUGGCCGCCGGGAUUCUGCUGCAGCUCGAAUCUAUUGUGGGACGAGUAGAUGCAUCGGCUACCAACAACGUGGUUCGAAUUUCAACGAGGUGUAAACACGUUGUGUACAUCGUGCUCGAGUUCUACUACUUACUCAGAAAAGCUGUUUGUUCAUAGGACAGGACUCUCCGAGUUGUUUUACCAUCAGCUUCAAGUGUCAAGUGCUCGUACGAAUAACUGCGCGACUGCA